GGCGGCGGCGGGUCGAUCUGGAUCCGAUCCAGGGCGCGACGGGGCGGAGGUGCUCGGCGAGCAGGCGGCUGCGGCGUCCGGAGGGACUGGCAGGCGAGGCACGCGGCGGGGGUGGCUGCCGGCGCGAGCUGCGGCGACGCAAGGAGAGGCAGGGAGAGCGGGGAGGCGCAGGAGGCAGGGCGGCGCGGCUGCUCGCGGGGGCGGCGCUCCGGAUCUGGGCGGAGCUCCGGAGGAGGCAGGGCUGGGGGCGACGGCUUCGGCAGCUCGCCGGCGGCGGGAUCCGGCGUGGAUCAGGG
This 296-nucleotide long non-coding RNA is filed under the name Hordeum vulgare. Its description in RNAcentral is "long non-coding RNA (HVUL_LNC014676)". The record is from RNAcentral. Lineage: Eukaryota; Viridiplantae; Streptophyta; Magnoliopsida; Poales; Poaceae.